Molecule: ribosomal RNA, 675 nt
Filed under: Crossocheilus atrilimes (Siamese algae eater)
Lineage: Eukaryota; Metazoa; Chordata; Actinopteri; Cypriniformes; Cyprinidae
Description: partial 12S ribosomal RNA
Rfam family: Bacterial small subunit ribosomal RNA
Source: RNAcentral
CCACCGCGGUUAGACGAGAGGCCCUAGUUGACUAUAUACGGCGUAAAGGGUGGUUAAGGAUUUAUUAAAAUAAAGCCAAAUGGCCCUUUGGCCGUCAUACGCUUCUAGGUGUCCGAAGCCCUUACACGAAAGUAGCUUUAAUAAAAUACCUGACCCCACGAAAGCUGAGAAACAAACUGGGAUUAGAUACCCCACUAUGCUCAGCUGUAAACUUAGACAUUCAAAUACAAUCAAAUGUCCGCCAGGGUACUACGAGCAUUAGCUUAAAACCCAAAGGACCUGACGGUGUCUCAGACCCCCCUAGAGGAGCCUGUUCUAGAACCGAUAACCCCCGUUAAACCUCACCACUCCUAGUCACCCCAGCCUAUAUACCGCCGUCGUCAGCUUACCCUGUGAAGGCAACAAAAGUAAGCAAAAUGGACACAACCCAGAACGUCAGGUCGAGGUGUAGCGCAUGAAGUGGGAAGAAAUGGGCUACAUUUUCUGCAACAGAAUAUUACGAACAUGCACUAUGAAAUAAUGCUUGAAGGAGGAUUUAGUAGUAAAAAGGAAAUAGAGUGUCCCUUUGAACCCGGCUCUGAGACGCGUACACACCGCCCGUCACUCUCCCCUGUCAAAACGCACUAAAAAUAUAUAAUUAACUAGCACCGACAAGGGGAGGCAAGUCGUAACACG